GACUGUAACUGGUUAAUGAUAAGGGCUGUGAAAAUGGGGGUGUGUAAGGGUGUGUAUGAUUAUCUGUUUAAGAAGAGGAAGGGGACAACAACAUCGUGAGAGAUGAGAAGUGCAGAAGACUAAGAUGAAAACUCACAGAUGCAGAAGAGGGUGGGGACUUUUUCACCUAUUAUAAUCACAUGCCUAAAUUAGAAUUUGUGUUAAACCCAUUGAACAAUGCAUAAAUAAUGGAAAAUUAAAUCAAAGAGAAUCAAUGUUCCCUUUCUUUACAACUUUCCUUUUAGAGCAGAUUUCUGUAAUUGCAAAACUCCUAGACAACCCCUAGACUUCCACUGGAAUUAUUUGAUGCAUCGCUGUAGUCAGUCAUUUUCAUUUAAGACAGAUUUUGCUGGGUAUGCUCUGAUUUAACAAAGAAAUGUUUCCACUCUUUUCUUGAACUAGCAGCUGUUGCUGUCCCUGACAGCUGUCUUAGGCUGAAGUACAAGUGUGUGUUCGUUGGAUGAUACUUCACUUGUUAAAUCACUUGACUAGUCAUAUUGAUGAGUAAUAUCUCACAUGAAAUCUGUAAGAAACAAAAUCAGCAAACUGGCAGUGGCAGUUGAAGCCAUGAGCUGGAUUCCCCAAAGCUGAUCACAGGAAAUAUGAGAAGCAAGCUCUGAGCACGCUCAGGGAGCAGGAAGUUGAGUGAGGCCGGGGGUCUGUAUAUGAAAUUGGUUACUAGAAAUUCAAUGGACAACAAAUGUUUAACUUUUUUUUUUUUUUUUUCCACUUACAGAGAAUAUCCUUUUAUUCUGAAAUUUGCUAUGCUUCUGCUUCGCUGAAAGGAAACAUUCAGGGUUUGUAAAAACAGGUGCUUGCGGCAGCUAUGGAAAACAUGAGCAAUAGAGUUCUGCAGAGACCUACAGGAUGGGGCCUGGAGGAAAAAUGACUCACUGGCUGAACGGAGGACAUCACUUUAUUCCUUACACAAUAUCUUUGAGCCUCUCCUGCUAUUCUUCUGUGCAGGUAUUGACAAAACUAAGAAUAGAGGAGAAAGUAAUGCCAUGGCUAUCGUGAGCAAAAACUGCAAAGAGUGGGCAAAACUCACUCAUGCUUCAAAAAGUACUGCAACUGGAAGCAGGAGACAGAGAGAAAGGAUUUUAUCACGUUAUUGAUCUACCUUGUCAUGUGAUCACUCUCAAUGCACUUUAAGAAAAGUGAGAAUGCUCUGCUGCAAAACUCCAUGGCUUCCAGUUUCAGGUAAAUAGGUACUAGCUCCCUAUUUUGAUUUGGAAAAACGUUGCCUGAUUCUUACCUGUUGCACAACGAUAUAGUAUAGUUUAUUCAUACGCCCAGAGUAUUUCCUUUUGAAGUGUAGGUUAUGGACACAUAUUCUUAAAAUGCUUUGAAAGAUAAUAGCCACAAGCACAUUGUUUUGAAUGUUGAAAUUGCAGCUGCCACUCAAAAUAAAAAAAAAAAAAUAUCAAGAACUAUUUUAAAG
This 1480-nucleotide long non-coding RNA is filed under the name Anser cygnoides (Swan goose). RNAcentral's name for it is "lncRNA (ENSACDG00005005207.1)". Lineage: Eukaryota; Metazoa; Chordata; Aves; Anseriformes; Anatidae. The record is from RNAcentral.